AAAUUAUUCUUUGAAAUUUCUUAUUGAUUUAUCCUUCCCCACUUUCCUUCCCACAAUAUAGGCCCAGAAAACAGAAGACAACCUAUUCACAUUUCAAAGCAUAGUAGAUGAUGUAUUUGUUAUCAUUGAAAAUGCACAUUGAUAAGAGCCAUGAAGACUGGGAGCUUGAUCAGCAGUGUUUCCGUGCUUUCGAGGUCAACCUGAACCCCUGGGAGCCUGCCUUCUGUGACCGUCACACCAGCAGACAGCUGCACUGUGAGUCCCGACCUGCGAUCUCAGUGACACUGCCCAGGAACCCACACAGUUCCUCUUGGGUGUUGGGCACCUGUUCCCACCUAAGCUGUUCUCCACUGUCCCUUAAUCUAUCUUCUCUCUGAAGGAGGGAUCCCUCCUCAUGCUUCACAGAGAGUUUGAAGCCAUCCAAGAGGACAUCGGUCAUUUUCUUCUGCACUCCAAAUUCAGUGCUUCACACAUGCUAUGUGACACCACAGUUAUCCACUCCCUUGCUUUCUGAAGUCUCCCAGAAACGUCCCACAUGCUGUAGCAUCGCCUUGCUUGAGAGGGUGGGGAACAGAUGCAAAUGCUCUCCGUCUUCUCGCCACCACUCCAGCUCUCUACUCCCUGUAACAGCCAUGCUUCUCUGAAUGUUCGAUUCACUUGAUCGCUCCCCUCCCCCACCCAGUCUCGCCUCACUCUUCAACCCAGUCUGAUUUGCCUCCCACCCACCAUUCCUCUGAAACUGAUCUUGCUAAGGUCUUAACUACCAGUUAGGCUUCUUCUCAGACUACCUUUACAUUUAACAGCAUACAGCUCCCAGACCCUACCUCUUCUUUGAGAGUCAGUGAAGAAAAAUGAUCCCCAGGAUUCCCAACAAAAUUCUCACAGCCUCUGAUCCUGGAUCAGUCAUGGAACACACAGGCUCUUCUGAUAUCCUGGCCAGAGAGUUUCAUAUGUACAUAUAUGUAACUUUUUAACAGUUACCUAGUAUUCCGUUGCAUGAAUGUGUCAUAAUGUAUUCAACUUCUCCUUUGAUGAUGGGCAUUUAGGUUUUUCUAGCAAUUUACUAACAUAAAUAAUGCCAGGAUGCACUUUCUUGUACCUUGACCACCCACAUACACUCUCAUACUCAAACUAUUCUUUCUUCACCAAACUCAUCAAGCUCAUAACUGCUGAAUUGUGAUUUUUGUGUUUUUAAGGAACUUUCCAUCACACCACCACCGUGUCACAUUGUAUGUUCCUGUGACCACUUUGAGGAAGGGAAGAGGGGAGGGGACACCGGGGUCUGCAAUAUCUAGACUUUGUCUUCAUUCUCUUCCGUUCACCAAAUAUAGUCCAGUUGUAAAAAGACAUGAGCUCUAUGAAGUUUACCCUAAAAUUAGAAGAAAGAAAAGGUUCGAUUUUCUAUAGAAGCCCCACUUGCCUUCUCAUCUCCCUGGGCCACCUGGGAGUGCAGGAGGGGUACCUUUCUCCUAAUCUGUUCUUCCUCAUAGCCUCUGCUUCCAGCCUGUCAAUUCACAAGAACUGUUAAAAACCUUGACAUUUCCAAUUUCCCUUCUUUUUCCAUUGUCUAAGAGCUGCUAUGCCCCAAGCCACAGAAAGUUCCUAUCACAACCCUCCAGCCUCAAAGAGGUAACAUUGCCCCCAGACCAAUGCCUGACUUCUUAGCCCUUGUCUUGGUCUUCUGCUGGAUGGUCCUGGCCUUCCCCACCCAUACUGCCUCUGUCCUGCGAAUCCAUCACUCUGAAGCUGUAAGUCAGCACCUCUGGCUAAUUAAAUGCGGCAUCUCUCAGAGGAAUGUCUGAGAGAUGUGUUCUUUCUGCUUCUGAUGCCUGAUAUUUUAAAAAUAAUGUCAUUUAUAAAAAUAAUGUCUUUACAAACCUCUCUGGGCUAACUUCUGUUUGGAAGUCCUAGAACUCGGCUCUAACACCCUCCAGAUCUCCAGGUACUGCCUGGUUACACUUUCUGUCCUUCUUUCAUUGCUGAUAAAUAAGCUUUCUCUUCUUUAACUUGCAGAACAUUUUUUCCCCAUUUUUUUCUCCUGAGCUUCCACAUUCUCAGUUCCAUGACAACACACCACCAACCCCUUUUCCAGUCUUUAGAACAGAAGUCCUCUUCCUCCUCCUGCCCGCCAUGCCCAGCAGGGAGUAAAAACACAGACUGAAACUGUCCCCUCUCCCACCCCUGCUUUUCUCCAUCAGCAUUCUCAACUCCACAGGAGCGUCCAGGAAAACUCCCAGCCCACUUUGAAAUAUAGUCUUCCUUCAGGUCACAACAUUUGCUGAUAUUUUAUAAAUAAAACUUUCUCUUCCUGGUACUUGGUAAACUGA
Molecule: long non-coding RNA, 2327 nt
Organism: Bos mutus (wild yak)
Lineage: Eukaryota; Metazoa; Chordata; Mammalia; Artiodactyla; Bovidae
Source: Ensembl